This 301-nucleotide ribosomal RNA is filed under the name uncultured bacterium. RNAcentral's name for it is "partial 16S ribosomal RNA". It matches the Rfam family "Bacterial small subunit ribosomal RNA", at positions 509 to 807 of the family's 1533-position model. The record is from RNAcentral.
CAGUCGCCACGGUAAUACGGAGGGGGCUAGCGUUGUUCGGAAUUACUGGGCGUAAAGCGCACGUAGGCGGAUCGAUCAGUCAGGGGUGAAAUCCUGGAGCUCAACUCCAGAACUGCCUUUGAUACUGUCGAUCUCGAGUCCGGAAGAGGUGAGUGGAACUCCUAGUGUAGAGGUGGAAUUCGUAGAUAUUAGGAAGAACACCAGUGGCGAAGGCGGCUCACUGGUCCGGUACUGACGCUGAGGUGCGAAAGCGUGGGGAGCAAACAGGAUUAGAUACCCGCGUAGUCCCUGUCUCUUAUAC